Molecule: long non-coding RNA, 1716 nt
Organism: Dermacentor andersoni
Lineage: Eukaryota; Metazoa; Arthropoda; Arachnida; Ixodida; Ixodidae
Source: RefSeq, a predicted model, not a curated record
CGCUGCAUUUCCAUUCUUUACGCUGCUGGCACCGUUCGCAGCUGCCGCAGUUCGCUUGUUUUGCGCAAUACUUCAGCUCAUUCAGUGCGUUCAGCUCAUUCUCAGUGCCUUUGGUACCAAGCAUCUGACAAGCUCGACACACGGGGCCGGACCUCUACGUGCGACGUUUUGAGCGCCUUGAGUGAGAACAACGAAGACUCAAUCGUGCGACGCGACCUUUCGGACAUGGCCACCCGAAGCUGUGAUGGCGAAGACAAUGGCGCGGCGACGGUUGGCGGCAGCAGCGACGAACCGCGUUAUGUUGAUCGUGGGUGUCAACAGACGGUGCCGUGGGCUGACAAAGCUACGCAGUGCAAGCUGGAUACAUGUGCACGCUAUGACCAAAUGUACAGAGAGCAUGAGACGCGCAUGGAGGGGCUGCGCGUGCUGCAUGACAAAUAUCGUGAGCUGCUCAACAGACCGGCCCGUAAUUUGUCAAAAUAAUCCUGGAGUUCUUCUGGGACGUGACAAUACCAAAGUUAAUAAUUUUCACUUUUCGUUUGUCACUCAAAUAUGGUUCUGAUUUUACUUUUUUUUUGGAGCGCAGUACUGCUCCGGAAACUAGUUUCCCAUGCCAAGUAUAUAUGUCAUGGUAACAUAAGGCGUAUUUGACUUUUAUUCUUCUGAAUAACUGACGCGUGCCUGCUAAAUCUGCUUCAAUACAGGGCGGACUUGCCAUGGAGUGAAUGAAACACUAAAUGUGGAUUGCAGUGAAACACUUGGCGACAGGUCUGCUUGGAACGUAGUGCCCAUGAACGAAAGGUUCUGAUCCUCCGUGAAGUGGUUCUCUUCAUAUAGAGCUUUAGCCUGCUCCUUGUGGCCACCGUAUAAAGAGGUGGCCAUCCAGCAACUGGGAUUGAACCACGCACCGUCUAUUGUCAAGCCAGUUGUCUUACCCACUAGGCCACAGCUGCGGUUUUUCUCAGAAUUCUGCAAACUGUGCAUUACGGUUCCCCGGCGGCGAGACAUGUGGACUGCGUGCCUGGGCUCGACACAGCAACAUCAGCACUGACCGACUGCACUGUUCCCGAUAAACCCUGCGUCAUAAUGCCUUUUCUGAUACCGAUCACAACUACGCCAUGUCACGUGGUCCAUUUUCCGGCUGUGAGAAAUCCAUCAAGCCAGCUCUUCAUCAGUGGGCUCGGCAGCAGCACUGGCAGCAACAUGCUUAGAAACCCGCUUUCCUUCGCUGUCCAGGUUGACCAUCAAAACAGAGUGGGCAGGUGUCGUUGAGGAGCCCGAAGGCAGCCAUGCAAGCCUUUAGCUCAGUGUGGCCCAGCACACCUAGUGGGACAGCACCAGGAAUGCCACUGCACCCACAGUUGUGCCCCAAGAAAUUGUAGGGAGUGUGAAGACAAUGUCCUUGCCGCUCCUGGUGCUUUGACCCAUGACGUGACUGGGAUGUUCACCAGAGCUGUUUGCCAGUUGCUGCUGUGAAUAUAGCACAGUUCUGUUGUUGCUGUCACAGCCACUUCCUAGCCCAUGUGUCUGCAAGCUCAUCGGCUCCAUCCAUCCCAGACUUGAUGUAUGUGCAGUACAAGUUAGCGAGCACAUGCGGAGACUGGCAGGUAGCCAGAGUGGUAGCAGAUAUUAUAAGCAAUAGCACUGUUAAAACUGUUCGCUGUGAUGCCUGUGCCUGGAAAUUAUUGCAUUAAAAACCAGCUACACUUUAAAAAA